RNAcentral lists this ribosomal RNA (253 nucleotides) under uncultured bacterium. RNAcentral describes it as "partial 16S ribosomal RNA". It matches the Rfam family "Bacterial small subunit ribosomal RNA", at positions 524 to 776 of the family's 1533-position model. The record is from RNAcentral.
UCCAGAGGUCUCAAGCGUUGUUCGGAUGCAUUGGGCGUAAAGGGUGCGUAGGUGGCGCGCUAAGUCAGGUGUGAAAUCUCGGGGCUUAACUCCGAAACUGCAUUUGAUACUGGCGUGCUUGAGGACUGGAGAGGAGACUGGAAUUCAUGGUGUAGCAGUGAAAUGCGUAGAGAUCAUGAGGAAGACCAGUGGCGAAGGCGGGUCUCUGGACAGUUCCUGACACUGAGGCACGAAGUCCAGGGGAGCAAACGGG